RNAcentral lists this ribosomal RNA (497 nucleotides) under uncultured bacterium. RNAcentral describes it as "partial 16S ribosomal RNA". It matches the Rfam family "Bacterial small subunit ribosomal RNA", at positions 28 to 507 of the family's 1533-position model. The record is from RNAcentral.
GACGAACGCUGGCGGCGUGCCUAAUACAUGCAAGUUGAGCGCUGAAGGUUGGUACUUGUCCCAACUGGAUGAGCAGCGAACGGGUGAGUAACGCGUGGGGAAUCUGCCUUUGAGCGGGGGACAACAUUUGGAAACGAAUGCUAAUACCGCAUAAAAACUUUAAACACAAGUUUUAAGUUUGAAAGAUGCAAUUGCAUCACUCAAAGAUGAUCCCGCGUUGUAUUAGCUAGUUGGUGAGGUAAAGGCUCACCAAGGCGAUGAUACAUAGCCGACCUGAGAGGGUGAUCGGCCACAUUGGGACUGAGACACAGCCCAAACUCCUACGGGAGGCAGCAGUAGGGAAUCUUCGGCAAUGGACGAAAGUCUGACCGAGCAACGCCGCGGGAGUGAAGAAGGUUUUCGGAUCGUAAAACUCUGUUGGUAGAGAAGAACGUUGGUGAGAGUGGAAAGCUCAUCAAGUGACGGUAACUACCCAGAAAGGGACGGCUAACUACGUG